This 249-nucleotide ribosomal RNA is filed under the name uncultured soil bacterium. Its description in RNAcentral is "partial 16S ribosomal RNA". It matches the Rfam family "Bacterial small subunit ribosomal RNA", at positions 26 to 285 of the family's 1533-position model. The record is from RNAcentral.
AGGACGAACGCUGGUGGCGUGCUUAACACAUGCAAGUCAAGGGGGCCCAGCAAUGGGCAACCGGCGAACGGGUGCGUAACACGUGAGCAACCUACCGAACUGUGGGGGAUAGCCGGCCUAACGGCCGAGUAAUACCGCAUACGCUCUCAGUGAGGCAUUUCAUUGAGAGGAAACCUACGGGACAGAUCGAGGGGCUCGCGGCCUAUCAGCUAGUUGGCGAGGUAACGCUCACCAAGGCAACGACGGGUA